UAGGGAGUGGUAGAGCCACGCAGAAUCCAUUGCAGAGAGUGGAGCAGGGUAGUGGCCAUUGUCGUGACUUGCUAGAGAGUUCAGAUCUGUCGGCUGGAGCUCGACUGGGAUAUCUGAUGGAGCAGAAUGGCUCUCUAUCCCAUCGAUCUAGGAGAAGCUCUGAUGUUUCCAAAACUGCUAACGAGUCUACUGUUGUCAGAUACCUUAGGCGCCGAUACUACAGGUGGGAGUCAUCUGCUAUAGAAGCUCG
RNAcentral lists this long non-coding RNA (250 nucleotides) under Elaeis guineensis (African oil palm). RNAcentral describes it as "long non-coding RNA (EGUI_LNC041382)". Lineage: Eukaryota; Viridiplantae; Streptophyta; Magnoliopsida; Arecales; Arecaceae. The record is from RNAcentral.